This is a non-coding RNA of Blepharisma stoltei, 80 nucleotides long. NCBI's taxonomy places the organism in Eukaryota, Ciliophora, Heterotrichea, Heterotrichida, Blepharismidae. The record is from the annotation of a GenBank genome assembly.
CCCGCUGAACUUAAGCAUAUUACUUAGCGGAGGAAAAGAAACUAGUAAGGAUUGCCCUAGUAAUGGCGAGUGAACGGAUA